Molecule: unclassified non-coding RNA, 115 nt
Organism: Papio anubis (olive baboon)
Lineage: Eukaryota; Metazoa; Chordata; Mammalia; Primates; Cercopithecidae
Rfam family: Metazoan signal recognition particle RNA
About the family: The signal recognition particle (SRP) is a universally conserved ribonucleoprotein. It is involved in the co-translational targeting of proteins to membranes.
Source: Ensembl
GCCGGGCAUGGUGGCUCGUGCCUGUAAUCCCUGAACUUGGAGGCUGAGGUGGGUGGAUCACCUGAGGUCAGGGGUUCAUCACCAGCCUGGCCAACAUGAUGAAAUCCCAUCUCUA